Molecule: ribosomal RNA, 612 nt
Filed under: uncultured archaeon
Lineage: Archaea
Description: bacterial SSU rRNA
Rfam family: Archaeal small subunit ribosomal RNA
Source: RNAcentral
CACGUGGAUAACCUGCCCUAAGGUGGAGCAUAACCCCGGGAAACUGGGGAUAAUACUCCAUAGGUUAUGGAUGCUGGAAUGCUUCAUAACUCAAAGCUCCGGCGCCUUAGGAUGGAUCUGCGGUCGAUUAGGUUGUUGUUGGGGUAACGGCCCAACAAGCCUGUAAUCGAUACGGGUUGUGGGAGCAAGAGCCCGGAGAUGGAAUCUGAGACACGAUUCCAGGCCCUACGGGGCGCAGCAGGCGCGAAAACUUUACAAUGCAGGAAACUGUGAUAAGGGAACCCCGAGUGCCCGUAUACGCGGGCUGUCCAGGUGUGUAAAAAGCACCUGAAGAAAGGGCCGGGCAAGACCGGUGCCAGCCGCCGCGGUAAUACCGGCGGCUCGAGUGGUGGCCACUUUUAUUGGGCUUAAAGCGUCCGUAGCUGGACUCCUAAGUCCCUUGGGAAAUCUCUUGGCUUAACCAAGAGGCGUCUAAGAGAUACUGGGAGUCUAGGGACCGGGAGAGGUGAGAGGUACUCCGGGGGUAGGAGUGAAAUCCUGUAAUCCCCGGGGGACCACCUGUGGCGAAGGCGUCUCACCAGAACGGCUCCGACAGUGAGGGACGAAAGCUGG